RNAcentral lists this ribosomal RNA (495 nucleotides) under uncultured bacterium. RNAcentral describes it as "partial 16S ribosomal RNA". It matches the Rfam family "Bacterial small subunit ribosomal RNA", at positions 28 to 507 of the family's 1533-position model. The record is from RNAcentral.
GACGAACGCUGGCGGCGUGCCUAAUACAUGCAAGUAGAACGCUGAAGGAGGAGCUUGCUUCUCCGGAUGAGUUGCGAACGGGUGAGUAACGCGUAGGUAACCUGCCUGGUAGCGGGGGAUAACUAUUGGAAACGAUAGCUAAUACCGCAUAAGAGUAGAUGUCGCAUGACAUUUGCUUAAAAGGUGCAACUGCACCACUACCAGAUGGACCUGCGUUGUAUUAGCUAGUUGGUGAGGUAACGGCUCACCAAGGCAACGAUACGUAGCCGACCUGAGAGGGGGAUCGGCCACACUGGGACUGAGACACGGCCCAGACUCCUACGGGAGGCAGCAGUAGGGAAUCUUCGGCAAUGGACGGAAGUCUGACCGAGCAACGCCGCGUGAGUGAAGAAGGUUUUCGGAUCGUAAAGCUCUGUUGUAAGAGAAGAACGAGUGUGAGAGUGGAAAGUUCACACUGUGACGGUAUCUUACCAGAAAGGGACGGCUAACUACGUG